Molecule: ribosomal RNA, 232 nt
Filed under: uncultured bacterium
Lineage: Bacteria
Description: partial 16S ribosomal RNA
Rfam family: Bacterial small subunit ribosomal RNA
Source: RNAcentral
CGGACGGGUGAGUAAUGUCUGGGAAACUGCCCGAUGGAGGGGGGUAACUACUGGAAACGGUAGCUAAUACCGCAUAACGUUGCAAGACCAAAGAGGGGGACCUUAGGGCCUCUUGCCAUCGGAUGUGCCCAGAUGGGAUUAGCUAGUAGGUGGGGUAACGGCUCACCUAGGCGACGAUCCCUAGCUGGUCUGAGAGGAUGACCAGCCACACUGGAACUGAGACACGGUCCAG